RNAcentral lists this ribosomal RNA (430 nucleotides) under uncultured bacterium. Its description in RNAcentral is "partial 16S ribosomal RNA". It matches the Rfam family "Bacterial small subunit ribosomal RNA", at positions 354 to 796 of the family's 1533-position model. The record is from RNAcentral.
GUGGGGAAUAUUGCACAAUGGGCGCAAGCCUGAUGCAGCAACGCCGCGUGAGGGACGACGGCCUUCGGGUUGUAAACCUCUUUUAGCAGGGAAGAAGCGAAAGUGACGGUACCCGCAGAAAAAGCACCGGCUAACUACGUGCCAGCAGCCGCGGUAAUACGUAGGGUGCAAGCGUUGUCCGGAAUUAUUGGGCGUAAAGAGCUCGUAGGCGGUUUGUCGCGUCUGCGGUGAAAACCCGAGGCUCAACCUCGGGCCUGCAGUGGGUACGGGCAGACUAGAGUGCGGUAGGGGGGAUUGGAAUUCCUGGUGUAGCGGUGGAAUGCGCAGAUAUCAGGAGGAACACCGAUGGCGAAGGCAGAUCUCUGGGCCGUAACUGACGCUGAGGAGCGAAAGCGUGGGGAGCGAACAGGAUUAGAAACCCGAGUAGUCC